RNAcentral lists this ribosomal RNA (446 nucleotides) under Megaesthesius yokoyai. RNAcentral's name for it is "partial 12S small subunit ribosomal RNA". Lineage: Eukaryota; Metazoa; Arthropoda; Malacostraca; Decapoda; Chasmocarcinidae. The record is from RNAcentral.
AAAAGUGAAAUUGAUUAUUUUUUCUAAAAAUUUAGAGUGAAGCCAAAAGAAAUUGGAUUUAAACUAGGAUUAGAUACCCUAUUAUACCAGUAUUUAAUAUAAAUUGUUUGAUUAGUAAUAGAUAUAGGCUAAAAAAUUAAAGAAUUUGGCGGUAACUAAGUCUUGUCAGAGGAACUUGUUUGUUAAAUUGAUACACCGCAAAAGAUCUUUCUUAAGUUUGUAUACCAUCAUUGGAAAAUAAUUUUUAAAAAAAAAAUUAUUAAUUUUAAAUUUAUAUUUAAAAAAAUUAGAUCAAGGUGCAGCAAAUAAGUAAGGUUAAAUGAGUUACAAUAAAUUUUAUUUAUUACGAAUAUAAUGUUAUAGAAGGAGGAUUUGACUGUAAUAAAAAAUUUAAUAAGGGUUUAUGAUAUAAGCGCUAAGUUAUGUACAUAUUGCCCGUCGCUUUC